GAUGAACGCUGGCGGCGUGCCUAAUACAUGCAAGUCGAGCGAACAGACGAGGAGCUUUCUCCUCUGACGUUAGCGGCGGACGGGUGAGUAACACGUGGAUAACCUACCUAUAAGACUGGGAUAACUUCGGGAAACCGGAGCUAAUACCGGAUAAUAUAUUGAACCGCAUGGUUCAAUAGUGAAAGACGGUUUUGCUGUCACUUAUAGAUGGAUCCGCUCCGCAUUAGCUAGUUGGUAAGGUAACGGCUUACCAAGGCAACGAUGCGUAGCCGACCUGAGAGGGUGAUCGGCCACACUGGAACUGAGACACGGUCCAGACUCCUACGGGAGGCAGCAGUAGGGAAUCUUCCGCAAUGGGCGAAAGCCUGACGGAGCAACGCCGCGUGAGUGAUGAAGGUCUUCGGAUCGUAAAACUCUGUUAUUAGGGAAGAACAAAUGUGUAAGUAACUAUGCACGUCUUGACGGUACCUAAUCAGAAAGCCACGGCUAACUACGUG
RNAcentral lists this ribosomal RNA (497 nucleotides) under uncultured bacterium. Its description in RNAcentral is "partial 16S ribosomal RNA". It matches the Rfam family "Bacterial small subunit ribosomal RNA", at positions 28 to 507 of the family's 1533-position model. The record is from RNAcentral.